RNAcentral lists this unclassified non-coding RNA (251 nucleotides) under Hevea brasiliensis (rubber tree). Lineage: Eukaryota; Viridiplantae; Streptophyta; Magnoliopsida; Malpighiales; Euphorbiaceae. The record is from RNAcentral.
CGGAUUGAAGAGUACUUAAACGACAGUACAUCACAUACUCCCAUCAUUGAAGAAGAUGAUAAUUCAGGCAUCAUAGAGGAACCGAAAAUUGAGAGUCUCUCAGAAUUGUUUAGAAGGACUUGAGUAAGUUUUCAUAUUAACUCCAGUUAUUUUUUUCAUGGCCUAAAGUGGCAUCUUCUGCCUGAAAGUACACCUUUCAAAUUAAUUAAAUCUAAACACUCAGCUUAUUACAUAUAUGUUUUAUAAAGAAG